This 2035-nucleotide long non-coding RNA is filed under the name Gossypium barbadense (sea-island cotton). RNAcentral describes it as "long non-coding RNA (GBAR_LNC022452)". Lineage: Eukaryota; Viridiplantae; Streptophyta; Magnoliopsida; Malvales; Malvaceae. The record is from RNAcentral.
AAAACUCUCCCUCCCCAGUCCGUCCGGCCAGGGGUCCGGGUAUCGACCGGUCGUCGACCGUCGAUCUCCAGCGCCGGCACUGCCGUUUACGGUGGCCAGAAAAGGGAAAAUCCCCUUUUUAUCAUUUUUGACCCCUCUAGGCCCAAAUCUGGGCUAAAAAUUUCCAAAAUUAGCGAAAAAAUAGAAAAACCCCAGAAACCUUUCGGCAUCUAGUCGUCUGUCAUCGGAGACGGUCCUCGGCCUUCCCUUCGGCGUUUCAGAAACCAAAAAGGUAGUUUCCUUCUCUUCUAUUAUUUUUGUUUAUUCGUACGUAAAAUAAAAAAUACAAAAAUAAAUAUAACAACAAAGAAACAAGUAUCAACCUUUUUUUUGACUGAUUUAUUCUCUGAAUUGCGAAAGUACAAGUCCUUUUUAUUUGAUUUUUUUUCGAUCCCUCCUUACAGUAUGUUAAAGGCCUUUUUAUAGCCAUUAAUUAAAAACAAAGAAACAAAUCAUGCUUGAUAUCUUCUUGAUCUGCAAAUCCUUUGAUUUUGUUUCCUUUUCUGUGCUUAUUUCUUGCAGAUGAAAGUGCGGAGAUCCGACUUGUACGGGCUAAGCGGCUGCGGCGCGAGGCUCCCUCAGAAACCCUAGGGUUUCUGAAAUUGCUUUAGGCCUGAGUCUAAUUUUAGGCCUCUGUUUGUUUCAGUUUGGGCCCUUAUGGUCCUGUUUGUAAUUUGGGCCUUUUACUCGGGCCAAAAUCGGGUAUUACAAUAACAUUUGAGGAAAAAAAUAAAAAAAGAGUAAAAAACAAAUUAUAUUAGAUAUUAAUACAUGCCUUCAACUCUACCACUGGUAAAUCCCUUCACUUCUAGUUGAUAUAUAUAUUGUUUAUUUGUGAAUGACAUCUAAGUAAUAAUCGAGGCACUUAAUUGAAGCAAUAUAUAUAUAUUGUGCAAGCAUUACCUAAUAUAAACCAUAAAAAUAUUCUGAUUUAAUAAUUUUUACCAUAAAUGGUAUUCCUAUCAAUUUUAUUGUCGCUUGUAAUAAUUUGUAUUCUUUUUUACCACAUUAAAUUAUCAUAUAGUGAUUCCAAAUAUUUUAUCAUUGAUGUUGAAGUUUUGGAUGUCUUCGUUACUUGGCAUAUGUUUGGUUAUCUUAUUGGUCUCUUGCACACAUUUAUGAAUAAAUUUGGUGAAGGAUUUGAUAUGUUUCAAGUAUGUUUUACAAUCUUCAAAUACUUAUCUAGUGAUAUUUUUAUGCAAAGAGUUAUACGUUAUGAAUUCUUGUGUUUCAGACGUGUUUUCACAUGUCAGAUGUCUGGGGGAAUUUUUUGAUACUAUGUUGGGCAUGUUUAGGUGCAUAUAGAAUACCAAUUUCAUGACUUAAAAUGUUUUAUGUUUUAUUUUUUUCUUUUUCUUUUUUUUUUGUAUGUUUUUGCACUUAUGUCUCAAGACACUAAGAGCAUGUUUCGAGACCAUAAGAACAUUUUCUUUCAUUUCAUGCAAUUUUGGGCGUAAGUCUUGAGACAUACCAAGCAAGUCUCAAGACAUAAAUUCUCAAGUCUCGAGACAUGGUUCCAUUGUCUCGAGACAUAAAAUAUUGAAGCUAAAUUGUUAGAAAUUUAGGCUUAAGUCUUAAGACUUGAGGUUCAGUCUUGAGACAUAGGGGGUCAAGUCUCGAGACAUAGUCCUAUUAACUCAAGACAUCAAACUUCAAAGCAAAAAUAGAGAUUUAAGGGAGGCAUCUCUUAAGACAUGGCUUCACUUUCUUAAGACAAUGUCUCACAUUUUGCCAUUUUAACCCAGGAUUCAUAACUUGGCCUUAUUUUUUUUUGUCUUUGAUCUUGAUUUUUUGCACAAUGUGAUAACACACUAGAAUAACGUAUUUUUAUGUAUUAAUUAUGUAUUUAUUCUGAGUAUGAUCCUGCUAAUUUGAGCUAUUUAUGAUCUUUUAUCUCAUAGGGACUAAAUUUGAGGCAAAAGAAAAAUUACGGGACAAGCGUGAAUUUAGAGAUAAAAUGGGCCAAUGUACGACACAAGAAAAAGUUGGUGCCAAA